RNAcentral lists this long non-coding RNA (1937 nucleotides) under Strongylocentrotus purpuratus (purple sea urchin). RNAcentral's name for it is "uncharacterized LOC115920327". Lineage: Eukaryota; Metazoa; Echinodermata; Echinoidea; Camarodonta; Strongylocentrotidae. The record is from RNAcentral.
UAGCAAGAAAUACAAGACGAUCAUGUUCGUCGGGACCCUGGAAGACCCUGGGCAACUGGUACUGGUAGAGCGCCCCCAACAGGCUAUCUUCGAGCAGUUACCACCCACCCUCCAACAGAAAAAGUUUGGAACCUAGAUAAAGACUUGUCAACGACCCAUGCUGGCAUCGGUGACUCUGUUCAUUGCGGUGUCGAUGCAUAAAGGAUGUUCAAAAGGAAAUGAGAAAAACAGUGUGCUUGGUCGAUAUAAUGGAUUGACUCUAGAUGUUUUGGGGUACUUUGAAGAAAGGGUCGCUGGGGCUUCUUUUAGAAAAAGUUGCAAUGUGACUAACAUGCAACCAAUCUAUUUUAGGAGUUACAAGAUGAUUUUUUUUUUGUUAAUGCCAAGGUCCCCUUAUAUUUAUGCUUGAAAGGAGUGCCAUCAUUACAUAACUGGUCGCCUCCCCCCCCCCCCCCCCCCCCCCACUCCCUAAAACUAGCCUUCAUUUAUACACUCCUCUGACAUUCCUUCUUUAAAAGAAAAAUGAAAUGUGACCUCUGUGCGAAUUCAAUCUCAUAGCCUCAAACAGCAUGUCUGAAUCAUACCAAACUGUCUUAGAAAGAUGCUUUUAAUCUUAUGCUGUCCAACCGACUGUUGACUCACUCUCCGAGUCUCUGCUUUCAUUCAACCUGCCCUACAUUCGUUUUUUGUCGUCGUUGGAUUUUAUUUGUCGGAUUCUAAAUAUUAUGAAAUGCUGGUGAGUUAUCAAACCUUUUGUUCCCAAGGUACCAAAGUCCAUGGAACCAAUCAGACGUAAUUUGUAAUUCAAAUCAUCAGUAAUGAGAACUAGAGAGAGAGAGAGAGAGAGAUUUUAUUUUUGGUGGCGCAGAUUUUCAAGGCUGUGAAAAUCAUUAAGGGGGGUCUUUUAGAAUAUCCAGCCAUGGUUAAUGUUCCAGCGAUAAUCAACAAUUUUUUUGUUGAGUGUUUCCCUCCACAAAACUUGCUGGGAGCCGAGAUGAUUAUUAAUUCAUAACAAUUAACCCAAUAUUUAUGUCUGUCUGUCUGGCUCAAAAAUCCCAUACUUGAUCAUCUGUUGUUAAUGCUUUUUUUAAUCUCCCAAAAGAUUCAUAUAAUUUAAUGCGGAGUUACUGCUCUUUCGCUCCAAAGUACUUGUUUUUUAUGCACAGUUUAUGCUCUUGUGAUUCCAAAGGUACUUGUAUUAUGUCACACAGACAUAAUGCCCUUCUGGCACUAAGACAGUAGUGUUUUGUUUUUUAUAGAAAGAGUGUAUCGAACUUGUGACACUUUUUUGUCGUACAAGAAUGGUGUUUAUUGAAAUUUCAAAUAUCUAAGCUCCGAUUUGAUAUACAUGUAUAUACCUCAUGGAGAUGUAAAUAAUAUAAAUUUGGCAUUAUCAAAUAUUAGUAAAAAAAUCAGUCACAUUUAACAUGAAAUUAACAGUGCUGAUGUGAAGCACAAAGCUCAUGUCAAUAUUACAUUCCUCGAAUUAGACACAAAAUCGUCCACAGAUCUUUGUAAAGUGCUUUUUCAACUGCAAGGAAAAGGCACUAAUUGCGUCUUAGAUCAGAUCAGAUUAGAAUUGAUCUUCACAAGCAUUACCUUUGCUUUCAUAGCAGCCAAGUUCAUUUCAAUUCAUCAUAAAAAUCCGCAAUCUGUUGACUUCCAUUCUCUUUAGUAGGACGUAAAGCGAUAUGUUUGCCGGAGUAAACACGAUGCUUUGUACCCCUCAGCGUUAAAUCAUCUGACUGUCAUAUCGGGUUUCACACAGAUCUAGUCUGACAAACGUGAAGUGUCUAGACUGAGUAAUGCCAUAAUCAAUUCUCAUGGAUUCAAGUGUUUGGAAGCCAACGAUGUUUAGCGUGGCACCCCUUUUAUCUGCAAGUCAUUGGGAUGUAAAACCAUGGUACAAGGUAUCUAGACGUAUGCCAUAUUUUGCU